RNAcentral lists this unclassified non-coding RNA (188 nucleotides) under uncultured fungus. RNAcentral's name for it is "sequence contains ITS1". Lineage: Eukaryota; Fungi. The record is from RNAcentral.
UUGACUUAUUAAGUACGAUACUCAGAGAGGCCUGUAAAAACAAUGGUUUGGGUGCCUCCGGCAGGCCUUUGGCGGCACCCUCGGUGAGGAGCCGGCCUGCCGAAGCAACUGUUCAGAGGUACGUUCACGAUGGUUUAAGGGAGUUUUGCAACUCUUUAAUGAUCCCUCCGCUGGUUCACCAACGGAGA